Molecule: ribosomal RNA, 501 nt
Filed under: uncultured bacterium
Lineage: Bacteria
Description: partial 16S ribosomal RNA
Rfam family: Bacterial small subunit ribosomal RNA
Source: RNAcentral
AUUGAACGCUGGCGGCAUGCCUUACACAUGCAAGUCGAACGGCAGCACGGGUGCUUGCGCCUGGUGGCGAGUGGCGAACGGGUGAGUAAUAUAUCGGAACGUACCUUAUUGUGGGGGAUAACGCAGCGAAAGCUGUGCUAAUACCGCAUAAUCCCUAAGGGGGAAAGCGGGGGACCGUAAGGCCUCGCGCAAUUAGAGCGGCCGAUACCUGAUUAGCUAGUUGGUGAGGUAAAGGCUCACUAAGGCAACGAUCAGUAGCUGGUCUGAGAGGACGAUCAGCCACACUGGGACUGAGACACGGCCCCGACUCCUACGGGAGGCAGCAGUGGGGAAUUUUGGACAAUGGGGGCAACCCUGAUCCAGCAAUGCCGCGUGAGUGAAGAAGGCCUUCGGGUUGUAAAGCUCUUUUGUCAGGGAAGAAACAGCAGCUCUAACACAGUUUGCGAAUGACGGUACCUGAAGAAUAAGCACCGGCUAACUACGUGCCAGCAGCCGCCGUAA